UACUUUGUGGUCAAGCGGUAAAAACACUUGCCUCUCGCCCUAGAGUCCCGGGUUCGAUCUCCGGUCGAGGAGCUAG
This is a non-coding RNA of Rhamnusium bicolor, 76 nucleotides long. NCBI's taxonomy places the organism in Eukaryota, Metazoa, Arthropoda, Insecta, Coleoptera, Cerambycidae. The record is from the annotation of a GenBank genome assembly.